GGCCCUGUGACUCAGUUGUAGAGUACCUGUUUUGCAUGCAGAAGGUUCCAGGUUAAAUUCCUGGCAUGUCCA
Molecule: transfer RNA, 72 nt
Filed under: Sphaerodactylus townsendi
Lineage: Eukaryota; Metazoa; Chordata; Lepidosauria; Squamata; Sphaerodactylidae
Description: tRNA-Ala
Rfam family: tRNA
About the family: Transfer RNA (tRNA) molecules are approximately 80 nucleotides in length. Their secondary structure includes four short double-helical elements and three loops (D, anti-codon, and T loops).
Source: RNAcentral